This 354-nucleotide small RNA is filed under the name Caenorhabditis elegans. Its description in RNAcentral is "Unclassified non-coding RNA Y41D4B.37". Lineage: Eukaryota; Metazoa; Nematoda; Chromadorea; Rhabditida; Rhabditidae. The record is from RNAcentral.
CUGGAAAAUGGGUUUGACCCAACGAUGCGCCUACCUCUCCCACGCAAUUCUAUGUGCUCAAUCUUGUAAGGAUUCAACUGUAACUACAAAUAUUGAUGAGCUCCGUGAUCGGCUCGACGUGGCAAAUGUUCAAAUGAGAAUUAAAGAUGCUCUCGGCUGCUCGGCGUCGGCGUCGGCUCGAAAUCAGGAAUUCGUCAGAAAACUCGAUGGGCCGAUUCUUUCACUGCAAGAGUUGCUUCUUCAAUACGUUGUACCAUUUAAGCUGCACAAAAUCAAGCUCUCACUGCUCCAUUGUGCUGGAAUGUAUGUGGAAAAGCAUAUAUUCGAAACGUGGGAGGAUAUCAUCCAAGAUGG